CCUACGGGCGGCAGCAGUGAGGAAUAUUGGUCAAUGGCCGAGAGGCUGAACCAGCCAAGUCGCGUGAGGGAAGACGGCCCUACGGGUUGUAAACCUCUUUUGUCGGGGAGCAAAGCGAGUCACGUGUGACUCAUUGAGAGUACCCGAAGAAAAAGCAUCGGCUAACUCCGUGCCAGCAGCCGCGGUAAUACGGAGGAUGCGAGCGUUAUCCGGAUUUAUUGGGUUUAAAGGGUUGGCAUGCGGAGGUGCAAGGUAGCGGUCAAAUUGCGGGGCUCAACCCCGUACUGCCGUUGAAACGUCAUCCCGUGAGUGCGCGAGAGGUAUGCGGAAUGCGUGGUGUAGCGGUGAAAUGCAUAGAUAGCACGCAGAACUCCGAUUGCGAAGGCAGCAUACCGGCGCGCAACUGACGCUCAUGCACGAAAGCGUGGGUAUCGAACAGGAUUAGAUACCCCAGUAGUC
Molecule: ribosomal RNA, 459 nt
Filed under: uncultured bacterium
Lineage: Bacteria
Description: partial 16S ribosomal RNA
Rfam family: Bacterial small subunit ribosomal RNA
Source: RNAcentral